RNAcentral lists this non-coding RNA (148 nucleotides) under Chlorocebus sabaeus (green monkey). The record is from Rfam by way of RNAcentral. Lineage: Eukaryota; Metazoa; Chordata; Mammalia; Primates; Cercopithecidae.
GCUGGGCGUGGUGGCACGUGCCUGUAAUCCCAGCUACUCAGGAGGCUGAGGCAGGAGAAUCGCUUGAACCCAGGAGGUGGAGGUUGCAGUGAGCUGAGAUCACACCACUGCACUCCAGCCUGGGUGACAGAGUGAGACUCUGUCUCAA